UGCAACGCGAAAACCUUAACCUACCCUUGACAUGUCUGGAACCUUGCUGAGAGGCGAGGGUGCCUUCGGGAGCCAGAACACAGGUGCUGCAUGGCUGUCGUCAGCUCGUGUCGUGAGAUGUUGGGUUAAGUCCCGCAACGAGCGCAACCCUUAUCCCCAGUUGCCAUCAGGUAAAGCUGGGAACUCUGGGGAGACUGCCGGUGAUAAACCGGAGGAAGGCGGGGAUGACGUCAAGUCCUCAUGGCCCUUACAUCCCGGGCUACACACGUGCUACAAUGGCAGGUACAGAGGGCUGCGAAGCCGCGAGGUGGGGCGAAUCCCAGAAAACCUGUCUCAGUCCGGAUUGAAGUCUGCAACUCGACUUCAUGAAGGCGGAAUCGCUAGUAACCGCGAAUCAGCAGGUCGCGGUGAAUACGUUCCCGGGCCUU
Molecule: ribosomal RNA, 428 nt
Filed under: uncultured Latescibacterota bacterium
Lineage: Bacteria; Pseudomonadati; Candidatus Latescibacterota
Description: bacterial SSU rRNA
Rfam family: Bacterial small subunit ribosomal RNA
Source: RNAcentral